GACGAACGCUGGCGGCGUGCCUAAUACAUGCAAGUAGAACGCACAGUUUAUACCGUAGCUUGCUACACCAUAAACUGUGAGUUGCGAACGGGUGAGUAACUCGUAGGUAACCUGCCUGGUAGCGGGGGAUAACUAUUGGAAACGAUAGCUAAUACCGCAUAAUAUUAAUUAUUGCAUGAUAAUUGAUUGAAAGAUGCAAUUGCAUCACUACCAGAUGGACCUGCGUUGUAUUAGCUAGUAGGUGAGGUAACGGCUCACCUAGGCGACGAUACAUAGCCGACCUGAGAGGGUGAUCGGCCACACUGGGACUGAGACACGGCCCAGACUCCUACGGGAGGCAGCAGUAGGGAAUCUUCGGCAAUGGACGAAAGUCUGACCGAGCAACGCCGCGUGAGUGAAGAAGGUUUUCGGAUCGUAAAGCUCUGUUGUAAGAGAAGAACGGGUGUGAGAGUGGAAAGUUCACACUGUGACGGUAUCUUACCAGAAAGGGACGGCUAACUACGUG
RNAcentral lists this ribosomal RNA (505 nucleotides) under uncultured bacterium. RNAcentral's name for it is "partial 16S ribosomal RNA". It matches the Rfam family "Bacterial small subunit ribosomal RNA", at positions 28 to 507 of the family's 1533-position model. The record is from RNAcentral.